Haliotis rubra (blacklip abalone) is the source of this 4179-nucleotide long non-coding RNA. RefSeq lists it as uncharacterized. Lineage: Eukaryota; Metazoa; Mollusca; Gastropoda; Lepetellida; Haliotidae. The record is from RefSeq and is a predicted model, not a curated record. The transcript is spliced from 2 exons.
CAAGUGCAUAAAAAUGAUACACAGCAUUUUAGAUAUUCAUGACAGGGCGAAAAUAUAAUUAAUUGCUAGAAAACUGAAAUUUGACAGUUCUAAAGCAGAUUUUACAUUGACAUGUUGUUAUGAAUUAUGUUAUGUUCUGAGUCCAUGUUUUAUUAAGUCCAUUUGUCAUGGGUGAAAGGAAGAGUAUUUGUCAGUUUUAUUGCACUUUGAAUUAUAACACAUUCGGCUUAUUGAUCAAAUCAUGAAUUAAAUGAAAACAGACUGACCUGAGUUUUAAGUAGGUGUAGUUUUUGAAAUUUAAACUGCUUCAUUAGCUGAUGCAUCAAUGUAAGUUUGACAGAAGAGAUGAUUUAUUCGAGAUGUAUGCAUUCAUUUGUAUCUUUUGAUGUUGGAAUGAAAAAAGACAUUAAACGAAACCUUGUUUCAAGAUUUGUGUUUGAGAUUAAAGCAUGUCCUUUUUUCAUCAGAUUUGAUGACCAAAGUCAACUGGAAGCCAUCAUUGUGAUUGAGGAAUUCUGUAAGGAGUUGUCAGCCAUUGCUUUUGUGAAGCAUCAUGCUGCAGUGACCAGAAGCUAGGAGGAGUACAGUGUCCAUGACCUUGGGGAGGACAGUGACCAGGUCAUAGGAGGAGGACAGUGUCCAGGACCUUGAGGAGGACAGUGACCAGGUCAUAGGAGGAGGACAGUGUCCAGGACCUUGAGGAGGACAGUGACCAGGUCAUUGGACAGUGUGAAGGAUAUCUUACUCAUCAUACAAGAUUAAUGUCAUUGAUGAUGAUGGCCCUGGAGGGCAAAUGCAGAACAUGUUGCAAAUGGUGUUCUCCAAACUUCUGUUUCCUUAAUGGCUUAUUGUAUUGGUAAUCAUUUAAUAAUUUCAUGAUGACAUUGAAUUUCUUCUAAUACUGGCAACAAUUAUGGCAUUUCAGAAUGCAUGUUCUCCUUUCAUUUACAGUCAGGCAAUGGAAAUGUUGAGACAAUAACUGUAUGAAGGUAAAUUCUUUCACCACAAUACCACAGUCAAUCAUUUGUGUCAGAUGGUUUCAUUUCUGUCACAAGAACGUUAUAGAAUCUCAUAAAGGUAUCAAAUGACAAUAGUAAACCUGUCAUUACCAGUUUGGUGUUCUUCAACUUAUUUUGAGAAGUAUAUGUCGAAAAUGUCAGAGACAAAAGUACGGAAUAGAUAUAUAAGUGUAUAUGUUUGUCUCCUUUCACAUGCACACUGGGUUAGACCAUUUGGUAUUGUCCACAUGUUGCCAGAUUCCUUGUUAUCCUAUGUAGUUAUGUUAUAUACAGUCUAUGAUGGGGUACAGGUGGGUGAAAUGUAUGAUGUCCACCCCUGCCUGAAGUAUUAUUGUUAGAUUAAUAUAACUCUUGCAAUACACUGAUAAGAUGUACUGCUCCUGUGAAAUUCCUGCCCCAGCUCAUCCAGUCCAUUGCUCUGUUCUGUUUGGAUAGUAGUCCAUUACAUAGCAAUCUCAUCCCAAAGAUGAUCUUACAUUAACAUAGUGAUAGCUAGAGCACCAAGAUCACUUGCAGGAAUGGUGCCCAUGUCAAGUUUGAAAAGGCUGUAUACAAGGACAUGUUUGGGAUGGGAACUGUUGUCUCCAGUCAUGUUAUGGACCUAUUGAGCGUUUUAUUUCAAAACAAGAUCCUUCAAGAUACAAUCAUUGUCUGUGAAAAUGCCUGAGUAUUAGUAUAUUAUUGAACGUCAGAGUAUAUGAACAGAAAUGUUCAGCACUUCAUAUAAAGACAUCACUAUGAUUUUAUUGUCCUUCACGGCAGCAUUGAUGAAUGUUGGAUUCAUUGAUCACCGCUUCAUUCCUAAUGUUUGAAAGUGGGUAUGUAUUGCUAUGAAUGUUCUCAAUGAUAUCAGUGUUCUUCCAGGAGGGUGCCUUAGUUUUGAUCCAGUUAUCAAAUGCAGGAGUCUGCAGGACCAAUAUCAGUUAUGCAUUCACUUGCCACUGCAUCAUAUUACAACGACGAAGACUCUUUAUGACUGAUCCAAGUUCCAUAUCUGUCGGUUAUAUAUCACAUUGACUCGUGAACCACACUUCUAGAUUAUGUAUAUAGUUUAUGUCCUUUGUUAUCAGAGUGUUAAUAAUUUCACUUCUAUUCAUUGUUGUGUGUUUCAUUAUGAGUGAGUAUAUACGUGACCUUUGAUUAAGAACUGUCCAUCCUUGACAAACUGAACUUCAGGAAUGUACAGCCAUUACUCAUGGAGCUGACGCAAGGUAUACGUACUGAUUUGUUGGUUGUUAGUUUCAACAAUGCUGGAAUAUUGCUGAGUGCGGUGUAAAACUAAACUCACUCACUCGCUCACUAUUAUCCCAAUAAUGCAGUGAUAUAUGAUAAUUAUCAAGCCAGUAAUCACUUAUGACUCUGGCUUCAGUAUAUGGUGUAUCCAUCUCAAUCAUGAAUGACAUUUGAAAGGCGUCUGCUUGUACCACUGAUCAGACGUCUAACUCUCAACAUUGGAAUCCUCUGCUGUUCCGCCAUACAUUUUCCAGCAGUAAAUGACACGUUUGGAUUCCAUUGUAGGUCCUUAAUGUUUUCGAAAUGAAUUUUGGUGUCUUAUUGAUGCAGUUCCAUCAGAUCAGAUCAGCUCCAUUUGGCAUGAGUACAACUGACACAACUUACAGAUAAGAUGAGGUUCUACUGUUUGUCAUUAUUUGGGGGAAAUGAGAAAGGAGCCUAACUAAAGCUCAUGUGUAUAUUGUAGGAUCCCCUUAUGAACGUUACGACAAUGUGAGCGGUUGUUUGACAUUAUUAUUAUUUACUGGUUUUAUCAUGUUUAUCCCUGGUGUGCCAAAUCAACUCAUGUGCAAUAUGUUUCGUUGGUCCAUGUCGGUCUUCCAAUAAUGACCUGUUUUAUUUUACACGUACAUGCACUGCAUGUACAGUUGUAAUCUGUUUAUUUCAGUGUUCUAAUUACCACAUACAGAUUAAUGUCUGGGGACACACCUUUUGAUAUUCUUGGGUUUGGUGUCAAUCCUAAUUGGGAUUUAUUUUCAUGACAGUCAGCAUGUCUAGCAAAUAAUCGUAUGUGAGUGGUAAAACUUGAAGAGAAACUAUUCCCAACCAUACCUAGAAAUUUAUCUAGGAUUCCACACUGAUCCCCCUUUGGGAAGAAAAUGGAGGAAAUUGUUAUUUUGUUCAAAAUUGAAUUCUCUAUAUCAUUCCUUAAUUUCCAAAUUUCAAAAAUAAUAUGUUGACACUGAAUUUUGACAUUGCUUUCAGUGAAAUAAUUUGGAAUUAGGCAUUAAGGCUUCAUCUUUUAUUUUGGUCCAGUUCUUAAUGAAAUACAAGUCAUCUGACAAGCCAUAAUGCUGAGUUAGUAUUGAUGUAACACCCAGAAUAUGGGGAAAACUGGACCAUUUCAUUUCAGUCAAGAUUUAAGAUAUAAAAAUGGAUAUUAUUCCUAUUUCAGAUUACAUGUAAUAAUUCAGUAACUUUAGAUUUUGUUUACCAUGUCUCAAGACAAUUAACCACUGUUCCACACAUCUGAGUACACAUUGUGUCUCAAGCCACUUAUAAAUUUUAGAUGUGUAUUUUAAUAUUAUUGUAGCUCGCAUUGUACACUGUGAUCUUCAUUACUUCACAAUGGUGCUAGUCCUUACUGGUUUUGAAGCAAUGUUAUUUGAAUAAGAUCAAUCACGCAUAGUGAUUUGAUUCCUUUCAGAGAAAACCAUGCUUGAAUUUAUAUAAAAACUGUAUGUAUGAUUUUUAGAAGAUAAAAUAUCUUCACUGUUCCAAAGAUGUAUCAAGUCCAAUGUUUCCUUCUGAGGAGUUUUGUUUGUGCAUGGAAAAGGCAUAGAACCAUGUAAACUAGCCUGAGUUAUACCCAGCUAUUAGCCUACAGGUUGUGUUAUGGUUCAGUCAGUAGAAGCUACAUCAGUUGAAGGUAAUCUUGAAAGGACAUAUAUUUGUCUUCAGAGGAUGUAGAUAAUGUUAUUAGCUGUUACUGAGUGUUUCUACAUUGUUCUGAUCGGUUGAAGGAAAUGUGGUCAGCACAUGGACUAGUCUUCAAAGGGAUAUAGUCAGUGAUGUUUGUUAUUGGGAUGAAGAUCUUAAGAAUACCUAAUGUAACAUGAAUGAAUAAAUUGUGAUAUAUUGGGGUUGCUCUUUUGCUUUGAAUGUUCCGUCUUGAUCAGUUACAACUGUUUAUAAAUACUUUGAACAU